Molecule: unclassified non-coding RNA, 512 nt
Filed under: Sarocladium bifurcatum
Lineage: Eukaryota; Fungi; Ascomycota; Sordariomycetes; Hypocreales; Sarocladiaceae
Description: sequence contains 18S rRNA gene, ITS1, 5.8S rRNA gene and ITS2
Rfam family: 5.8S ribosomal RNA (bases 170-323)
Source: RNAcentral
ACCAGAGUGCCUUCAGGCUCUCCAACCCACUGUGAACAUACCUACGUUCCCCCGGCGGGCCCAGCGCGCGGCGAGGUCCUCCCCGCCGCGCGUCCGCCGAGGGCAUCUCAAACCCGAUUUUAUGUCGUGUCUUCUGAGGGGCGAAAGCCCGUAAAACAAAAUGAAUCAAAACUUUCAACAACGGAUCUCUUGGCUCUGGCAUCGAUGAAGAACGCAGCGAAAUGCGAUAAGUAAUGUGAAUUGCAGAAUUCAGUGAAUCAUCGAAUCUUUGAACGCACAUUGCGCCCGCCAGUACUCUGGCGGGCAUGCCUGUCCGAGCGUCAUUUCAACCCUCGGGACCCCCCUCCGGGGCGGGACCCGGCGUUGGGGAUCGGAGGCCGCACCGGCCCCCCUCCCCCAAAUACAGUGGCGGUCGCGCCGCAGCCUCCCCUGCGUAGUAGCACACCUCGCACCGGAGAGCGGCUCGGCCACGCCGUGAAACACCCCACUUUCAAGGUUGACGCGGAUCAGGU